GUUGAAACCAAGGUGCUUUGUUGGUCGAAACUAAGGUGCUUUGUUGGUUGAAACCAAGGUGCUUUGUUGGUUGAAACCAAGGUGCUUUGUUGGUUGAAACCAAGGUGCUUUGUUGGUUGAAACCAAGGUGCUUUGUUGGUUGAAACCAAGGUGCUUUGUUGGUUGAAACCAAGGUGCUUUGUUGGGUGAAACCAAGGUGCUUUUUUGGGUGAAACCAAGGUGUUAUGUUGGUUAAUACCAAGGUGUUAUGUUGGUUAAUACCAAGGUGUUAUGUUGGUUGAAACCAAGGUGCUUUGUUGGUUGAAACCAAGGUGCUUUGUUGGUUGAAACCAAGGUGCUUUGUUGGGUGAAACCAAGGUGUUAUGUUGGUUAUUACCAAGGUGAUUUGUUGGUUGAAACCAAGGUGCUUUGUUGGGGAAACCAAUGUGCUUUGUUGGGUGAAACCAAGGUGCUAUGUUGGUUGAUACCAAGGUGCUUUGUUGUUCGAAACCAAGGUGCUUUGUUGGUUGAAACCAAGGUGCUUUGUUGGGUGAAACCAAGGUGUUAUGUUGGUUAAUACCAAGGUGUUAUGUUGGUUAAUACCAAGGUGUUAUGUUGGUUAAUACCAAGGUGCUUUGUUGGUUAAUACCAAGGUGUUAUGUUGGUUAAUACCAAGGUGUUAUGUUGGUUGAUACCAAGGUGUUAUGUUGGUUAAUACCAAGGUGUUAUGUUGGUUGAUACCAAGGUGUUAUGUUGGUUAAUACCAAGGUGUUAUGUUGGUUGAUACCAAGGUGUUAUGUUGGUUAAUACCAAGGUGUUAUGUUGGUUGAUACCAAGGUGUUAUGUUGGUUAAUACCAAG
Molecule: long non-coding RNA, 839 nt
Organism: Oncorhynchus tshawytscha (Chinook salmon)
Lineage: Eukaryota; Metazoa; Chordata; Actinopteri; Salmoniformes; Salmonidae
Source: Ensembl